This 655-nucleotide long non-coding RNA is filed under the name Carica papaya (papaya). RNAcentral's name for it is "long non-coding RNA (CPAP_LNC015873)". The record is from RNAcentral. Lineage: Eukaryota; Viridiplantae; Streptophyta; Magnoliopsida; Brassicales; Caricaceae.
UGAAACGGAAUGAAGGUUUCUCGGCAACACAUGGAUUUUUAGAAGAUUUUCUAGAAAUUUAAGGAAAGGAAGAGCUAAGGGAUGAGCUCUUGGAAGUCUUAGUGAAGAAAGGAAAUCAAGAAGAAAAAGGAGAAAGCUUACCGUGCGAAGGAGGAAAGCUUCUCAGAUCUUCUUGUUUUCGUCUCUCUCUCAACUUUUUUUUUCUCUCUCUCUCUCUCUCGGUCAAGUGAAGAAGAAGAAGGAAAAUGAAGAAAUGGAGGAGGAGAGAGGAAAAAUGGGCUUUAAAGAGCCAAGUGGGGUGCAUUGAUCUGUUGGAUCACAAGCGAUGGUUGAUGGCCAUUGAUUGGCCCAGUGGUCGACCGACUAUCGAAUCAUGGUGUACAUGCAAACCAUGUGGCGACCAGGUAGCGGGGCAUGAGGUGGUGUGUGCGACAGGCGUGCGACAUAUGCGUGGCAGAUGUGCGGCAUGCAUGCGGCAGGCAUGUGGCAAACAGAGGUGACAACAAUAGGACGCACACACUGUUCCUGCAAACGCAUUGUAAGCGCAGGAGCACACAGGCUUGCGGGCUCGCAAGUGUUUCCUGCGGGCUGUCUUUCCCCAUGGGUCCCUUUUUUUAAUUUUUUUCAUUUCGUUUAAAAUUUCCAGCACUUUGGC